Lineolata rhizophorae is the source of this 125-nucleotide non-coding RNA. Lineage: Eukaryota; Fungi; Ascomycota; Dothideomycetes; Lineolatales; Lineolataceae. The record is from the annotation of a GenBank genome assembly.
GCCCUAGUGGCGCAAUGGUAGCGCGGUAUGUUUAUGUGUAAGCGACUGUAACCAAAAAAUCAACUAAUAUUUUCUUAGCCAGACUUCUAAUCUGGAGGCUGUGGGUUCGAGCCCCACCUGGGGUG